This is a long non-coding RNA of Carya illinoinensis, 2391 nucleotides long. RefSeq lists it as uncharacterized. NCBI's taxonomy places the organism in Eukaryota, Viridiplantae, Streptophyta, Magnoliopsida, Fagales, Juglandaceae. The record is from RefSeq and is a predicted model, not a curated record. The transcript has 7 exons.
ACUUUCAAAAAGAUACCGAGAUGAUGGUGAGCAUGACUUGGAACCCGAUUGGAACCCACAACAGAAGCGGCAAUCUUCAACCACGAUAAUUAUGGAAUUCAAGGAUGCUAAUGAUGAUUAAAUUAUUGAAGAUUUGGAUUUAGAACUUCAACUUGUGAAUUGAAGUUCAGAAAGGAAUCGAAGUUGCAGAAGGAAUCAAAGUUGGGGGGAAUGAACUGGAACGGAUGCUUGUGGAAUUUGCAGCAAAGUAAUCUCCUCGACCACUUUACUGGAAUUUCAGUACAUAUAUUAAUAUAUACACCAAGAAUAUUUCAACAGGUUCAAAGGCCUCAAAGAAAAUGUUUUUAGACCAAGACCAGAUCUGUAAGGGAGAUUAAGGAUGCUGGAUGAAUUGUUAUACUAGGCAUUAUAAGGUCACCAUUAAAAGGCUGAAAUUAAUGACCAAAUUUAUGUGGAGGGAAGAAAGGUAAUGUGCGUGGAGCUGGUUUUCUUAACAUUUGUGUUGUUUUUUUCUUUUUCCGUAUACUGUAAUUGUCGAUCUUCUUGGGCUAUAUUUGUCAAAAUACAGGGUAAUUGCUGAGAGUUUCUGGUUUGAGAAAUGACACAAAUCAAAGGUCCUAAAGCUCUGGAUUGGAUUAUUAUCAUACUUUUGUACCCGUUUCAUUCCAAAAGAUUGAAUUUAUUGUCAAGAACCACAGGCGUGAUCUAGAUUGUUAAAUGGGUUCUGUCCCUGAAGAUCUGUCAGCCACAAUGCCUUCAAAAGUGACAAACCAAUGACAAUUUUGUGGAACUCACAAAAGAUGCAUUAAGCUAUGCUGAGGGUCUUCCCCUCGCUUUAAUAGUGGUGGGCUCGGAUCUAUGCGGUAGAGAUAUAUCUUAUUGGAAAAGUGCAUUGGAAAAAGAUAAAAGAAUUCCGGAGGAAAAUAUUCAAGAAAAAUUAAGAAUAAGUUACGAUGGAUUAGAACCAAAUGAGAGAAAUAUUUUCCUUGAUAUUGCAUGUUUUUCCAGAGGAAAGGAUGCAAGAUAUGUUACUAAAAUACUGGAUAGUUGUGGCUUCUUUCCAAAUGCUGGUAUCAAAAAGCUUAUCGACAAAUGCCUCAUAAGUAUUGAUAAGUAUGACAGAUUGACCAUGCAUGACUUGUUGCAAGAUAUGGGUAGAGAAGUUGUUCGACAAGAGUCACCAAGAGAGCCUGGCAGAUAUAGUAGGUUAUGAUUUCAUGAAGACAUUCGUUAUGUACUUGAAGAAAAUACGGUUGGAGGAUUGCAGGCAACUUCAAGAAAUUUUAGAGCUUCCACCCAAUAUAGAAGAGAUGUAUGCUAAUGGAUGCAUCUCAUUGGAAAGGUUUCCCGAAGUAUAAAGAAAGUUUCAAUUCAAUACUUGCAACUUAAGGGCACUUUGAUGGAUUGAAUUGUUCAGAUGCUAUAAAAUGUUUGUGAAUAUACCAAUUCAUGUGGCAAAUCCUUUAUUCGAUGAGGGACAUCUUAAUGACUAUUUUGGCGGCAUUAUAUUUCCGGGAAGUAUGAUUCCUGACUGGCUAAUCCAUUGUAAGGAGGCUUAAAAUACUCAUGGGGUUUACUUCACUCAUGGGGUUUAGUUCAUGAAUGGUUGGAAUACUCUGUUCUAGAACCUUUCCAGCUAAAAGGGAAAAGUCUGAAUGUUAAGUUUACUUGUUAUUCAAACUCAUUAUCCCUUAAACGUUGUGGAGUCUAGUUGGUGUUGGUGCAUAAGCAUGCAGAUAAUGCUAAAGAUCAUUCAGAUGUGGUCUAUGAGCAUGAUUGCAACUUGGAAUCUGACUAUCAUCCACAACAGAAGAGGCAUUCUACAACCUUGGAUAUCGAAAAUUUGAACUUAGAGGAUACUCAACUCGGAUUGCACAUCAUGCCACCAUUUGCUCAGAAACAGGCUACUUGGUCUUAGCCAACUUCACAUGAGGCUGGUGAAAGCUCAUCUAGACAGGUGGCACGACCUUCCUGGAUGGAAACUCUAUUGUCGAAGAUGGAUUGUAGGAUGGAUGCACAUGUGGCUCCAUUGAGACAGCUCGAAGAUAUUGCAUCUAGACUCAAGAACAUAGAGAUUCAACUCCAGGAUCUACAGAGUGCCUUCAAGGAAAAUGUACCAUAACCAGCAGGGGAUUGAUCCUACAGGGCUUGAUUCACAUUCUAUUUCUACCUGCUAACUUUUCAUUAUGUUUGUAUUGCACCGUACUCUUUUUGAGCAUGUCAUUUCAGCAUGUUUUUGUGUCUGUUAUGGAGCUAUUAUGGAGCCUUGAUUCACUUCUAAAGUGAUAUUUGGUCGAGCUAUUAUGGAGUUGAUGAUCUAGAACAGUAAAAGGGAUGAAAAUAUAAAUGUUUGAAGAAGGCUGAUUGGUAUGCCUAAUAUAUUUCCAACAA